CCCUUAGAUGUUCUGGGCCGCACGCGUGCUACACUGGUACAAUCACUAAGUUUCUGAGUAGUUAUGCUUGGGCAAUCUUGAAAACUGUACCGUGACGGGGCUUGACUGUUGAAAUUUUCUGUCACUAACGAGGAAUUCCUAGUAAAUGUGGGUCAUGAACUCACGUUGAUUACGUCCCUGCCCUUUGUACACACCGCCCGUCGCUCCUACCGAUUGAAUGCUCAGGUGAGCCAUUCGGACUUUCAUCAUGCUGGUUUCCAGUUUUGAUGAAGGAAAGUCUUGCGAACCUUAUCAUUUAGAGGAAGGAGAAGUCGUAACA
RNAcentral lists this ribosomal RNA (319 nucleotides) under uncultured eukaryote. Its description in RNAcentral is "partial 18S ribosomal RNA". It matches the Rfam family "Eukaryotic small subunit ribosomal RNA", at positions 1470 to 1796 of the family's 1831-position model. The record is from RNAcentral.